GACGAACGCUGGCGGCGUGCUUAACACAUGCAAGUCGAACGGAAAGGCCCUGCUUUUGUGGGGUGCUCGAGUGGCGAACGGGUGAGUAACACGUGAGUAACCUGCCCUUGACUUUGGGAUAACUUCAGGAAACUGGGGCUAAUACCGGAUAGGAGCUCCUGCUGCAUGGUGGGGGUUGGAAAGUUUCGGCGGUUGGGGAUGGACUCGCGGCUUAUCAGCUUGUUGGUGGGGUAGUGGCUUACCAAGGCUUUGACGGGUAGCCGGCCUGAGAGGGUGACCGGCCACAUUGGGACUGAGAUACGGCCCAGACUCCUACGGGAGGCAGCAGUGGGGAAUAUGGCACAAGGGGCGGGAGCCUGAUGCAGCAACGCCGCGUGCGGGAUGACGGCCUUCGGGUUGUGAACCGCUUUCGCCUGUGACGAAGCGUGAGUGACGGUAAUGGGGAAAGAAGCACCGGCUAACUACGU
Molecule: ribosomal RNA, 467 nt
Filed under: uncultured bacterium
Lineage: Bacteria
Description: partial 16S ribosomal RNA
Rfam family: Bacterial small subunit ribosomal RNA
Source: RNAcentral